GACGAACGCUGGCGGCGUGCUUAACACAUGCAAGUCGAACGGAAAGGCCCUGCUUUUGUGGGGUGCUCGAGUGGCGAACGGGUGAGUAACACGUGAGUAACCUGCCCUUGACUUUGGGAUAACUUCAGGAAACUGGGGCUAAUACCGGAUAGGAGCUCCUGCUGCAUGGUGGGGGUUGGAACGUUUCGGCGGUUGGGGAUGGACUCGCGGCUUAUCAGCUUGUUGGUGGGGUAGUGGCUUACCAAGGCUUUGACGGGUAGCCGGCCUGAGAGGGUGACCGGCCACAUUGGGACUGAGAUACGGCCCAGACUCCUACGGGAGGCAGCAGGGGGGAAUAUUGCACAAUGGGCGGAAGCCUGAUGCAGCAACGCCGCGUGCGGGAUGACGGCCUUCGGGGUGUAAACCGCUUUCGCCUGUGACGAAGCGUGAGUGACGGUAAUGGGUAAAGAAGCACCGGCUAACUACGUG
RNAcentral lists this ribosomal RNA (468 nucleotides) under uncultured bacterium. RNAcentral's name for it is "partial 16S ribosomal RNA". It matches the Rfam family "Bacterial small subunit ribosomal RNA", at positions 28 to 507 of the family's 1533-position model. The record is from RNAcentral.